Molecule: ribosomal RNA, 492 nt
Filed under: uncultured bacterium
Lineage: Bacteria
Description: partial 16S ribosomal RNA
Rfam family: Bacterial small subunit ribosomal RNA
Source: RNAcentral
AGUGAACGCUGGCGGUAGGCCUAACACAUGCAAGUCGAACGGCAGCACAGUAAGAGCUUGCUCUUACGGGUGGCGAGUGGCGGACGGGUGAGGAAUACAUCGGAAUCUACUUUUUCGUGGGGGAUAACGUAGGGAAACUUACGCUAAUACCGCAUACGACCUACGGGUGAAAGCAGGGGAUCUUCGGACCUUGCGCGAUUGAAUGAGCCGAUGUCGGAUUAGCUAGUUGGCGGGGUAAAGGCCCACCAAGGCGACGAUCCGUAGCUGGUCUGAGAGGAUGAUCAGCCACACUGGAACUGAGACACGGUCCAGACUCCUACGGGAGGCAGCAGUGGGGAAUAUUGGACAAUGGGCGCAAGCCUGAUCCAGCCAUACCGCGUGGGUGAAGAAGGCCUUCGGGUUGUAUAGCCCUUUUGUUGGGAAAGAAAAGCAGCAGGUUAAUACCCCGCUGUUCUGACGGUACCCCAAGAAUAAGCACCGGCUAACUUCGUG